Aquila chrysaetos chrysaetos is the source of this 2125-nucleotide long non-coding RNA. RefSeq lists it as uncharacterized. The transcript has 5 exons. Lineage: Eukaryota; Metazoa; Chordata; Aves; Accipitriformes; Accipitridae. The record is from RefSeq and is a predicted model, not a curated record.
CCCAAAUGUGGCAGCUCCUCGGCGGAUACAGAAGGCUCCAGAGCAGCCUCUGAGGGUUUGUCAAAAUACUUAAAAAGCCGCAAAGACCCUGAGGCUUUGCUAGUGGGCAGGAAGUGAGCAACCUUUGCAGUAGCAUCUUUCCGCUGCAUAAUCUGAAAUACACUUUUGUAACUGCUGCCUGGGACUCGGGUUCUAUGUCUCUCAUCCUGGCACACAACCACCGGGUAAGUCUGACCUGUCCAAAACCUGUUCAGCCCCUUCAGUAGCGUAUUCAAGAGUAACGUGGCAGGGAGCUCCGUGUAACUGCGUGAGCACGUAUCUUCUUGUGAUCCCAUCCCCUUGGUGGUUUGCCCUCUGCCAAGAAUUUACUAGUGACCAUUUCUUUAGCCUUACCUGUCGGAGUAAGGAAAAGAGGAAGUUUGCUUUGAAGUCGAGUGUCAGAGGCUUGUAUGAGGCAGCCUGCACCAGGAGAGGUCACUGCCCAUGCAUCGUUCGUCUUCGGAGACCUCCCAUUGCCUGGUCAUGCCACUGCCCAGCUCCUCUCCUGUCUGUCUAUCACUACUUUCCUGACAACUCCAGCCCAGGUCUUGUAUUUAUUACCUGGAAAGGCAGGUGCAGACCUUCAGGUGAGCAACCUGGUGUCACCACAGUCCCCCUUGUUGCCGACCAGACUUGGACUGUCAAGUUUAACUGAAGGGACCCCCAACGACUUCCUGGCUCUGUCCCUCAGACCCUCCGCUGCCAGCAGGACCCCCACCAGACCACCUCGCAUCCCUCCCUCACGCCUCGCACCGAGCAGCGAUAACCCGCAGCCGGGACCCAACGCACCACAGAGGGGAUAUUUUUUUGUGCUGGAAAUGUAAUUUAAGGGAGGAGAGCUUAACCUGUGCAAGACCUGCUCAAAUCCAGAGAGGAUGAGCACCAGCCUUCAGGAGACCAGACCUCAAAGGAGCCUCUCUUAUUAAGGGAGAGGGAAUAAUACCUCGCAUUUCUUUACCACUUGAGAAAAUCUUUCCGAGACCGAUCGCCUUAUUUCACCCCUUCAGCCAAGUGGAACUUCCCAGGGACUAUCUCGCCUCGCAGAUUGAGCCACUGACUCCUCUCAGCCGUGUCUAUCAGCUGUGCAGAUGUCUUACGUAAAUAUUCUCUCUGCUUUCUGAUCCAGCCUUGCAGCUCAUUAAUAAUUUCAGGUCUUGGCAAGAAGCGAGCGCUGCCAUUUUCACGCUGGUUUGGGUUGUGUAGGAACCAACCAACUCACAUGUGAGUGUUAAGUGAGUUUUAAGCACUCCUGUGCAGGUGAGUUGGGGAGUUUAAGUGCCCGUUACUGACAUUUGUUCUUUGUGUGGAUAAAUCCUGUGCUUUGGGACCUAAACCAGCUCAUUCUUUGAACUCUUCCCAUAGAAGUAAGUAUCUUACCUAAGUGGCAUGUUUCACUUUCCCAAAUCUGCUUUACUUUGAUGUAAUUCCCUUUGACUAAUUGCAGAUUAUAUGAGUACCAUUGCUGCAAAUUUACUGUCUGCCAUUCACAUUAUUUUCCAUGUUGCUGAUUCUUAAAUGUACAUGGAAGCAACUAUACCUCUCAGGCUGAGAAGCAAACCUGCGCAGUAUCUCGGGCAUAAAACUCAGCAGACCAGCACAGAAAUCCGCAGCCUUCCCGUUCUGCUUUGUGCUUUCCGCAUACCAGAAGAGGCUGGUUUUUCCCCAUUUUUGGUGCCGACAGGUUCCUGCACCUCAGGGCUUGUCUGGGAAAGGGUUGAAGCAGCAAGUUGCUUUCAAUUGCACAUUUCUUUUUAGAUUCAAAUGUGUUAGAACAUAAAAUUAUGUUGGAAUUAAUUAUUUCUAGCAGUAUCAACUCAUGUUCUGUUGUGCCCUGUGGGUUUUUUGCGUGCAUCUUCCCUGCUCCCCUCACCCCCGCCUUGGUGGUUCUCUCCCAAAUCAGCUGUUGGUCAAGGAGAGAUCAUAGAAUCAUAGAAUCAUUUAGGUUGGAAAAGACCUUCAAGAUCAUCGAGUCCAACCAUCAUCCAUGCCGACUAGACCAUGUUGUGGAGUACCUUGACUACGCACUUUUUGAAUACCUCCAGGGAUGGUGACUCAACUGCUUCCCUGGGCAGCCUGUUCCAAUGUC